AGUGAACGCUGGCGGUAGGCCUAACACAUGCAAGUCGAACGGCAGCACAGUAAGAGCUUGCUCUUACGGGUGGCGAGUGGCGGACGGGUGAGGAAUACAUCGGAAUCUACUUUUUCGUGGGGGAUAACGUGGGGAAACUUACGCUAAUACCGCAUACGACCUACGGGUGAAAGCAGGGGAUCUUCGGACCUUGCGCGAUUGAAUGAGCCGAUGUCGGAUUAGCUAGUUGGCGGGGUAAAGGCCCACCAAGGCGACGAUCCGUAGCUGGUCUGAGAGGAUGAUCAGCCACACUGGAACUGAGACACGGUCCAGACUCCUACGGGAGGCAGCAGUGGGGAAUAUUGGACAAUGGGCGCAAGCCUGAUCCAGCCAUACCGCGUGGGUGAAGAAGGCCUUCGGGUUGUAAAGCCCUUUUGUUGGGAAAGAAAAGCAGCAGGUUAAUACCCCGCUGUUCUGACGGUACCCAAAGAGUAAGCACCGGCUAACUUCGUG
Molecule: ribosomal RNA, 492 nt
Filed under: uncultured bacterium
Lineage: Bacteria
Description: partial 16S ribosomal RNA
Rfam family: Bacterial small subunit ribosomal RNA
Source: RNAcentral